RNAcentral lists this unclassified non-coding RNA (202 nucleotides) under rhizosphere metagenome. Its description in RNAcentral is "partial ribosomal RNA internal transcribed spacer region". The record is from RNAcentral.
GAAUAUUAGAACAUGUGUUUACACAGUUCGACCCUCCACUUUCUAACUCUGUGCAUUUUAUUGGCGGUGACAACGUUAUGUGAUUAGAGCGGUAGUUCUCUUCUAAACGAUGUCAUUGCGGCUUCAUUUUAUAACACUAGUAUAAGUAUGUAACGAAAUAUCGAAAUAAAAAAAAACUUUCAACAACGGAUCUCUUGGCUCU